AUUAAAAAAACUAAGCCACAUGCUAUACAUUUACACAGAAUGAUAUGAAUCUAUAAUUGUAUGUUUUUGAUAGGAAAAGAAGAGGUUUUCAUGAUAAAAACGAGCAUAUGAAAAUUAAUUUACGAGAGCAGAGAUGCAUUGCUCACCUGAGACUGCCGGUCGACUUUCCAAACAAGAUCCAACUUCAAACUUCAUAAGCGCUCAAUUUCCGUAUCUGUUUCCUCUAUUUCUGAGUCACUAUCUUCAACGGCUUCAGGGAAUUGAAAUUCUCUGAUUCGAGGAACACUUUAAAAGUUGGAGUGCGUGUGGGAAACCUUGAACCGUGACAGAUUUCCGCAAAAGUUUAUCAGCUCCCCUUGCAGUAACACUCUUCAACGUCAUUAAGAAUGACAUAGUUCCCCAAGGAAAAUUUAGAAACAUGUCUAAAUUUUCUGCCAUGUCCACAUGGACCGGAGAGAUUUUACUUCUACCCGAGGUUGGGCAUAAAACGCCAUCAAUCAAGGCCAGCACAGCGUAACGUAAACGAAUUCCUUGAUCUUGAACCACUCGCUUCUUCAGCCUGCCAACAACCCACUCAACAGAUACAUCACUGCGGUCAAAUAGGUUGUACCAAUACUUGCCAGGCGCCAAUUUUCGUUUCUCUUUCCUCUCUUUCAUACGAGGCGGUUUGUCGCAGUUCAAACCGGUAACAUUUUGAAACUCAGAAAUGGAAAACCGAACAGGGGAUCCAGAGAAAAUUACCCAAAUUUCUUGUUUCUUCCUAACAACAAGCUGCCUCGUUAGCAAAAAGUAAAUAAGCUUCGCAGAAUACGCGGCGCUUUCGGAGAAAUCAAAUAAUUUACCAAACUGAGAUUCCCGGAGAAUUUUCAUGUCCUCCGCAUCUAACGCGUUAGCGAUGUCAUCUAUCAAAGACAGUUCACUGUAGGACUGCACUCUCUCACUGUUGGGCUCGGAUCCAGACCUAGACAACCGACGGGGUAAAGAGUUGUUCGUCAUCUACAAGUCGAACCCUUUUCUGCACAAAAUAGAAGUUUAUAAUCAGAAACAGUAUGAGAUUGCAGAUUUCAGUUAAUCGGAAUACAAAUUGGAGAAAUAAAGAAGUUGAUACCGAUCGAGAACGUUGAAUAGCUUAAACCGCAUAUAUUUUCAAAAUUACCUGUAGCCGGAUGGAAUUGAUCGCCUAACUGCGAGAUUGAAUCUAAAGAAACGAUAUGUAUGCGAAACAAUAUAGAUUUGAAAUAGAUAUUCGGAGAGUUUGCAGAAUCUAUGGGUAGAGAACGGAAGACGUUUUCUCUCGGAAAACCAGCAAAUGAAGCGGCGCUAGUUUUUUUUUUGCAGCUGCUGAUAUUUCCAAAAAAUUGAUAAUAAAUCAUUUUCUCGAAAUUAAAAUCUAUAUCGUUUGCGUCCACAUACAACAUUGCUCUUACCAAGGUUUUCAAAAUUCUAAUUUCUGCAAUCAUACGCCUAUACACCUAUAUGUCCCCUAACCAAGAACACAGUUAUACGGGGUUGCGGGUAAUUUCAAAUACGUCUCCGACAUACACUAUAGACUUAUAGUUAGUUUCUAUAUUAUUAUUGAUUUUAUGGUCAUUUAGUGCAUAUACCCGUAUUAUUAUUGGUUAUGAAUCUAUGAGCUGUAUUAUUUGAAAUGUUCUGAUUGGGUGGUGAUUUUGUGGAGGUGUGAAGCAUAGAAAAACUUGAAAUGCUGAUGUAUCAGUAGAGGAGAGACUUUUAGAGUUUUUGUGGUAUGAAUUAUCUUUUCGAUUUUGUUAAAGCCAAAACAAAAUGGGCUUUGUAGACCACUAAUAUAAAAAUUAAAGUAAGUAAUGGG
RNAcentral lists this small RNA (1831 nucleotides) under Arabidopsis thaliana (thale cress). RNAcentral's name for it is "ATSL029320". The record is from RNAcentral. Lineage: Eukaryota; Viridiplantae; Streptophyta; Magnoliopsida; Brassicales; Brassicaceae.